UCCUGGUGUAGCGGUGGAAUGCGCAGAUAUCAGGAGGAACACCGAUGGCGAAGGCAGAUCUCUGGGCUGUAACUGACGCUGAGGAGCGAAAGGGUGGGGAGCAAACAGGCUUAGAUACCCUGGUAGUCCACCCCGUAAACGUUGGGAACUAGUUGUGGGGUCCAUUCCACGGAUUCCGUGACGCAGCUAACGCAUUAAGUUCCCCGCCUGGGGAGUACGGCCGCAAGGCUAAAACUCAAAGGAAUUGACGGGGACCCGCACAAGCGGCGGAGCAUGCGGAUUAAUUCGAUGCAACGCGAAGAACCUUACCAAGGCUUGACAUAUAUGAGAACGGGCCAGAAAUGGUCAACUCUUUGGACACUCGUAAACAGGUGGUGCAUGGUUGUCGUCAGCUCGUGUCGUGAGAUGUUGGGUUAAGUCCCGCAACGAGCGCAACCCUCGUUUUAUGUUGCCAGCACGUAAUGGUGGGAACUCAUGGGAUACUGCCGGGGUCAACUCGGAGGAAGGUGGGGAUGACGUCAAAUCAUCAUGCCCCUUAUGUCUUGGGCUUCACGCAUGCUACAAUGGCCGGUACAAAGGGCUGCAAUACCGCGAGGUGGAGCGAAUCCCAAAAAGCCGGUCCCAGUUCGGAUUGAGGUCUGCAACUCGACCUCAUGAAGUCGGAGUCGCUAGUAAUCGCAGAUCAGCAACGCUGCGGUGAAUACGUUCCCGGGUCUUGUACACACCGCCCGUCAAGUCAUGAAAGUCGGUAACACCUGAAGCCGGUGGCCUAACCUUUUUGGAGGGAGCCGUCGAAGGUG
RNAcentral lists this ribosomal RNA (800 nucleotides) under Microbacterium maritypicum. Its description in RNAcentral is "bacterial SSU rRNA". It matches the Rfam family "Bacterial small subunit ribosomal RNA", at positions 668 to 1464 of the family's 1533-position model. Lineage: Bacteria; Bacillati; Actinomycetota; Actinomycetes; Micrococcales; Microbacteriaceae. The record is from RNAcentral.